GAGUACAGUGGCUUGAUCUCGGCUCACUGCAACUUCCACCUCCUGGGUUCAAGCAAUUCUCCUGCAUCAGCCUCCCCAGUAGCUGGGAUUACAGGCACGUGCCACCACACCCUGCCAAGUUUCGUAUUUUUAGUAGAGGCAGGGUUUCACCAUUUUGGCCAGACUGGUCUAGAACUCCUAACCUCAAGUGAUCCACCUGCCUUGGCCUCCCAAAGUGCUGGAAUUACAGGCGUGAGCCACCGCACCCAGACGAGAUGUAAAAAAUUUUAAAGCCAUUGAAUUAAAUUCAUUGCUAACAUUUUGAGCUUUGAUAAUGUAAUUCCUACUUUAAUGACUCAAAAAAAAAAAAACCCAAGUUACCUAUGUAUCUAAUAAUCUAUGUUUUCAUUACUCCUUUUCUUCCUUAUCUCACAAACCAUAAUCCAAUAGUCUGGGACAUAUGAAAGAGAAAGUAAACAGUCACAAGAACUACCUUACUUCGAGAAUCCACGUUGUUGAAAAAAUAAUAUAUUUUGGGCACUUGUUAAAAAGAAUUAACAGAAAAAGUCUUUUUUUUUUCUCUCAGGAACAUUUAAUUCAUGGUAUAACAGGAAUUUUACAUCAAAAACAGUAAGAAAAAUGAAGUAACGGUUGAGAUAGCAGUAUUUUGUCAACCAAAUACUAUAAUGAUGAAAACAUUACAAGAAGCUAUAGCCAGACCUGAGUGUUCUGCUUCUACUUAAUGCUAAUGAGCCCAGUCCUAGCACACAUCUUGGUUUGGUAGAAACUACAGGAGGUAGCAUGGUUCAUUAGACUUUCAAAACUUGAAAAUGUUAAAGAGAGUGGUUUCCCUCCUUCAUUUCAAAUGGAUUGCUAAAGGCACUGGGCUAUUCCUUGGUGGAACUUUGAAUUUGCCAGUUUCUUCAUUAAUUUUGACCUUUUUACAUUCAAAAAAAAGUUAACUUUACAUUAAGCCACUGCAGACUUAGACCUCCUGCAGUUCUGAAUUGUGCUUAAACAAGUAUUCAAGCACAUGAAUUUCUCAAGAAAAUUUGGGGACCGUAUCUGAGAAAAAAAAUUUGUAAAAUAUUCGUUGAGGACUAUAAUAUGCUAAAACUAAGGAACAAAAUUCUCUUGAUUGUUCUAAAAAUACUUAGCAAGAUCCACAGAACUCUCACAUCGUUUUCUAAGUAGUUUCAUAAAUGUGGAUUAUGGUUGCCCUGAAACUUGACAUCUCCCUAGCAAGUACUUGGCAAGUGACCUGGCAAAAAUGUGUUCAAUAGCUCAUUUUUGACAUACUCCUUAAGAAAUCAUUGCCAGAGAUUUGAAACUGCUU
This 1315-nucleotide long non-coding RNA is filed under the name Macaca fascicularis (crab-eating macaque). Its description in RNAcentral is "lncRNA (ENSMFAG00000059739.1)". The record is from RNAcentral. Lineage: Eukaryota; Metazoa; Chordata; Mammalia; Primates; Cercopithecidae.